RNAcentral lists this ribosomal RNA (253 nucleotides) under uncultured bacterium. Its description in RNAcentral is "partial 16S ribosomal RNA". It matches the Rfam family "Bacterial small subunit ribosomal RNA", at positions 524 to 776 of the family's 1533-position model. The record is from RNAcentral.
UACGAAGGGGGCUAGCGUUGUUCGGAAUUACUGGGCGUAAAGCGUGCGCAGGCGGCUUCUCAAGUCAGGGGUGAAAGCCCAGAGCUCAACUCUGGAAUUGCCUUUGAGACUGAGUGGCUUGAGUACGAGAGAGGUGAGUGGAAUUCCGAGUGUAGAGGUGAAAUUCGUAGAUAUUCGGAAGAACACCAGUGGCGAAGGCGGCUCACUGGACGCGUAUUGACGCUGAGGUGCGAAAGCGUGGGGAGCAAACAGG